GACGGAGGAUGCAAGCGUUAUCCGGAAUGAUUGGGCGUAAAGCGUCCGCAGGCGGCUCGUUAAGUCUGUUGUCAAAGCGUGGAGCUUAACUCCAUAAGGGCGAUGGAAACUGAUGAGCUAGAGAGUGGUAGGGGUAGAGGGAAUUCCCAGUGUAGCGGUGAAAUGCGUAGAUAUUGGGAAGAACACCAGUGGCGAAAGCGCUCUACUGGGCCACAACUGACGCUGAGGGACGAAAGCUAGGGGAG
This 245-nucleotide ribosomal RNA is filed under the name uncultured bacterium. Its description in RNAcentral is "partial 16S ribosomal RNA". It matches the Rfam family "Bacterial small subunit ribosomal RNA", at positions 524 to 768 of the family's 1533-position model. The record is from RNAcentral.